RNAcentral lists this long non-coding RNA (217 nucleotides) under Jatropha curcas. RNAcentral describes it as "long non-coding RNA (JCUR_LNC001934)". Lineage: Eukaryota; Viridiplantae; Streptophyta; Magnoliopsida; Malpighiales; Euphorbiaceae. The record is from RNAcentral.
GUUUAGCAGGAAUUCAAUAAACAAUGGACUUGGUUCUGCUGAAUCAGGUCUGGUCUGUUAGUUUGUGUUCCUAGCUUUGUUUUGUUAUCUUUCAUUUUGAUCUGGGCUGUGAUCCCUUCAUAACAUUUGUAGGAUUUUGUCUUAGCUUUCUAAUGACUCUGAUUUCAUUUAAUUUGGAGACCCAUAACUCAAGUUAUGUUUUAAAAACACAGCAAAG